UAGGGAAUCUUCGGCAAUGGACGAAAGUCUGACCGAGCAACGCCGCGUGAGUGAAGAAGGUUUUCGGAUCGUAAAACUCGGUUGUUAGAGAAGAACAAGGACGUUAGUAACUGAACGUCCCCUGACGGUAUCUAACCAGAAAGCCAAGGCUAACUACGUGCCAGCAGCCGCGGUAAUACGUAGGUGGCAAGCGUUGUCCGGAUUUAUUGGGCGUAAAGCGAGCGCAGGCGGUUUCUUAAGUCUGAUGUGAAAGCCCCCGGCUCAACCGGGGAGGGUCAUUGGAAACUGGGAGACUUGAGUGCAGAAGAGGAGAGUGGAAUUCCAUGUGUAGCGGUGAAAUGCGUAGAUAUAUGGAGGAACACCAGUGGCGAAGGCGGCUCUCUGGUCUGUAACUGACGCUGAGGCUCGAAAGCGUGGGGAGCAAACAGG
This 429-nucleotide ribosomal RNA is filed under the name Gemmatimonadota bacterium. RNAcentral's name for it is "Gemmatimonadetes bacterium partial 16S ribosomal RNA". It matches the Rfam family "Bacterial small subunit ribosomal RNA", at positions 355 to 776 of the family's 1533-position model. Lineage: Bacteria; Pseudomonadati; Gemmatimonadota. The record is from RNAcentral.